GCACGCAGCAGUAGGGAAUAUUGCACAAUGGAGGAAACUCUGAUGCAGCGACGCCGCGUGAGCGAUGAAGGCCUUCGGGUCGUAAAGCUCUGUUGCAGGGGAAUAAGACAGUGAAUGUACCCUGUGAGGAAGGAUCGGCUAACUUCGUGCCAGCAGCCGCGGUAAGACGAGGGAUCCUAGC
Molecule: ribosomal RNA, 181 nt
Filed under: uncultured Bdellovibrio sp.
Lineage: Bacteria; Pseudomonadati; Bdellovibrionota; Bdellovibrionia; Bdellovibrionales; Pseudobdellovibrionaceae
Description: partial 16S ribosomal RNA
Rfam family: Bacterial small subunit ribosomal RNA
Source: RNAcentral